Rattus norvegicus (Norway rat) is the source of this 142-nucleotide small nucleolar RNA. Ensembl annotates it as small nucleolar RNA SNORA48. NCBI's taxonomy places the organism in Eukaryota, Metazoa, Chordata, Mammalia, Rodentia, Muridae. The record is from Ensembl.
CACCCCUCAGCAGUGGGCAGAGACACCUUGUUGGUGGUGCCAUUCUUCUAUCAGUCAGGGGCAGAGCAGACAGUAGCUCUUGUUUAUCCUAGCUUGAUGCCUGGCUUGGUGACCAAAGCUGUUUUAUGCCUAGGACUCAUAA